Molecule: ribosomal RNA, 253 nt
Filed under: uncultured bacterium
Lineage: Bacteria
Description: partial 16S ribosomal RNA
Rfam family: Bacterial small subunit ribosomal RNA
Source: RNAcentral
UACGGGGGGAGCAAGCGUUGUUCGGAAUCACUGGGCGUAAAGGGCGUGUAGGCGGUCAAGUAAGUGGGAUGUGAAAUCCCUCGGCCCACCCGAGGACCUGCAUCCCAAACUGCUUGGCUUGAGUAUGGGAGAGGAUGAGGGAAUUCCUGGUGUAGCGGUGAAAUGCGUAGAUAUCAGGAGGAACACCGGUGGCGAAGGCGCUCAUCUGGCCCAAUACUGACGCUGAGGCGCGAAAGCUAGGGGAGCAAACGGG